UAGGUCAUGAACUUCAGGCCGUUUAUUUUUCAAACAACUCGUUCGUAAAACAAUACCAUAAGACGCGUUCUACUAAUGAUAAUAUUCUGUUCGCUCGACACAAGUAGUUACAAAACUCAAACGUGAAAAUCGAACUAACACGUUGUUGACUGUUGUCACUUGUCGGAUGACUAAUUUUUAAUAGAUAGUAUAAAAACCCUAGAUAUUAUUUUAUCGAAAAUAGUGAUAUGUACAUUCGAAUUAAAUAUUUUAUUAUCUGCUGCACAAUUGGGGGAUGAUCAUCUCGCGCUUAUUGUUUUUAUAAUCCCUAUAAUAUACGCUAAACACAGUAUAGCUCGUAAGGGUACGCUGUUGAAUCAGUAUCACUAUAAAUUGUUAUAGGAUUUAAAUGAAUUAGUAAGUAUUUAAAUUCAGCCCGUUUGUUAUAUUAUUUAUUUUACUCGGGCUUAUAAUAAGGCGCACAAAACAUGAUUGAAAGAAGGAAAAUUAAUAUAGGUACGUACUAUCGCGAUGCAAUUUAUAUAGAUGUAGGUACAAAGUAGGUAUAUUCAGUUUAUUGACAUUGAAGGAAUGUACAUGUCGUAGACUAUUUCGACAGGUAAAGUAAUAUCUCCGAUAAAUCGUAUGUUAUUGUACCCACUUAUCUCAACAACCGAUUAGUUGUGUAAAGUAUUCAUAUUGUGUAUUUUUAUAAGUGAUAUUUUUAAUUUUAUAAUAUUUGACUUUUAUAAUAGCCAGGUAUUACUCGUACGCUUUUACACGGUUUCGUUGGAUCAACGUGUACGCGAGGUUCAUAAUAUACAAAAACUAUUAUUUAACACAUGCAUUUAACAAUAGGUUUUAUGGAAUAUGAUCGUAUUAUUAAGCCAAGGAAGUAUAUUUUAUGAGAACAAUUAGGUUUUUUUUUAUUACUCUUAAAGAAAAUAUUACAUGCUUAUGCUUUUUGGUUUAAAAACCGGAGCAUAUACUCGUACGUAUGCCGUACACAGAGUUUUAUAUUUAAAACAAUUAUUUAAAAAAGGUUGAUACUGCUGUCGGGUGUACGAUGUUUUAGGAUUAGAAUGGAGGAUAUGUAAAGUAUAAUUUAAUUUAUACGUAUCCGUACGCAGCUAUAAACCGUUUCAAACGAAAAACAAUGAUUCUGUUCCCUUUAUUGUUGCAACUUAACCCAGAAAUCAACAAAAGUUAUACAAACAAAUUGCCAAUUUUUCCUAUUUUAUUAAAUAGUAUAUAUAUAUAUAAUAUAAUACAUAAAAAAAAAUCAAAAAAUGACCUCCUUAAUGCAUCAACUAGAUAAAAAAUGUCUACAAGUAACCCAAGAUUUCCAUCUUGUAAGUUAGUCAAGUUAUGUACAAAAUUUAAAAAACACGUUAUUAUAAGACUAAAAUUUUCAAACGAUUUCGUUGCUAAUGCUUUUUGUGACAAAAUUAUUUUUUUUUAUAUUGAAUUAAACUGUGUAUAGUGUUGUGUAACCAAUAUAUGUACCGUAAUCGUCUCCGAAAAAAAUCCAAAUCAAUAUAUUUUUUUACAAUAUGCUAAACAAACCGUGUGUAGUUGAAAAAGCUGCACCAAUAAUUUUAUUCCUCGUGUGCAUUCAUAAUACCCACUUAUCAUAUUAUCAUUAUUAAUGACAUUUGACGGAUUGACCUGUUAUGCCAUUUGGUAGAUGGGUAUCGUAUUU
This 1681-nucleotide long non-coding RNA is filed under the name Cinara cedri. Lineage: Eukaryota; Metazoa; Arthropoda; Insecta; Hemiptera; Aphididae. The record is from RNAcentral.